Molecule: long non-coding RNA, 659 nt
Organism: Podarcis raffonei (Aeolian wall lizard)
Lineage: Eukaryota; Metazoa; Chordata; Lepidosauria; Squamata; Lacertidae
Exons: 3
Source: RefSeq, a predicted model, not a curated record
UCAUGCCCACCCUCCACUUGUCCACGUAUGCAAGUGUUUCCAAUGAUGCUAUUCUUUAUUCAUAGAGGUAGUUAGAUGCUUCAUAAAACGGUCAUAUCUGCAAAAAAGGCGGGAGAGGAGGGGCAGGAGGUGGGGAGGGGGGCGAAGGGCGCAACCGCUCCAACCCGGAGCCUCCCAGCCUACAUGGCCAUUUCUGCAAACGGCUCUCCGAGCCAGCAACCGACGCUCGCCCCUGAAGCAACGGCAGCGGGCGAACCCCCCCCCCCACUCCCGGUGCUCUCAUUGACCUCCACCGGCAGCCACCCAGCAGAAUAAGCCCCGCCCUUACCUGUGCCAGCAACGCGAAGAAAGCGGUUUCGGCGUCGGCGUGGAAGGAAGGAAGGAAGGAGCGAGCGUGCCUUCCUCUGCCCUCCUUCCCUCCUUCUCCACGGCGGCGGCGGCGCUCCGUUGCCAGGGCGGCGAGCGAAAAACCCUGGCCUGCGAUUGGCCGCUUCGUGAGGCUCGGGAGCGCCCAGGUGAGCGUCGGGCUGAGGAGGGCGUUCACCUGAGUGGCUCACCUGGGCAGCUCAGGUAUCCAAAAUUUGCAGAACACAUCCAAAGGAUAUGUACCAGUUUUACAUAUGAAACAGAAUCUCGUCAUACCUGUUCGCCAUUCAACC